This is a long non-coding RNA of Melospiza melodia melodia, 9376 nucleotides long. RefSeq lists it as uncharacterized. The transcript has 5 exons. The record is from RefSeq and is a predicted model, not a curated record. Lineage: Eukaryota; Metazoa; Chordata; Aves; Passeriformes; Passerellidae.
GGAAAUGGAACGCGUGAGGCCAAACAAGGAACAAUCCCCGGGUUGUUGGCUGAGCCAACAGGCUGCUGUCGCCGUGUGAGCGAACGCGCGGAUUACCCCGUUAGGAGGAAAUGGGCGAUGAUGGGGCGAUAAACGCGCCCGCUGUGUGACCACAAUUGAUUUGCAAUUGACCGAGCGCCGCUCCCGACCCCGCGCCCGCCCCGGUCUCUCGGGCUGGGAAGCUCCCGGGGGCCGAGGCCGCGCUCCUCCGCCUGCUCGGACUGGGCGGUCGGUCCCGCUGUUACCCGCGCGGUGAUGGUUGUGACCGCAAUCAGAACUUUCCCAAAAGUAGCAGGUGGUUAUUUUAGCGCUAAUUUAGUUAACGCCAUUGAGAAAAGUCUUAGGGGAUCGAACAAUGCCCGGUGAAGAAAACGUCUGGCACAGGACUCAGUGAGGAUAGAGGUUUAAAAAGUCUCCAGUCUUGGAUGCGAUGCUCCAUUUUAAGAAGUGACUUUUUUUUUGUGUGGUGGCUGCUUGAAGCGCACCUUAUUUAAAAAUCCCUACAGAAUGUAAAACUGAGUGAGUCUAGUCGGGGGAGCCGGGCGAGUCUGUAAAUUACCGCUCUGUCAGGAUUCCUCUUGCCUCUUACAAAGUACCUUUUUAUGCUGAACUUAAACUUUACACUACAGAGACAGCAGAUGUGAGGUGAUGGCUUCCAAAAGCAACACAGAUGCUGUAAAAUUUCCAUUGCUGUAUUUCAGCGAGGAAGCUCAGGAGACAUGCUGAAUGCUGCAGUUUAGAAUUACACUGUAACUCUCCUAGAAAUAAGAGAAUACUAAGUUUCUCAACAGUACAUUUGGCUUCAUUUUGGCUGUCAUUCAUGUGCUCUUGUUUUCUUACAGCGAGAAGAGAUGAAGCACAAAGAUACUGUGUGUCUUGAAGCUGUUCAGUAAUGACAGAAUUGGUAAUAUGGAACUUUAUGGUAAUUUAGUAAUGACUGCAUAUCCAAAUUCCCCAGUAAGACCAUGAUAAUUUUCAAAAUUGUCUUUCAGGUAUAUAAAACAGCACAGCUGUGAGGAGGCUGCUUUGCUUUAUGUGACUGAAAAGCAGCUUGGUUAGCUCAACACUGUGGAAUCAGAGCCCAUUGUGUGUUCCUCAUACUUGGAGACUUCCCUGAAGUCCCUAGAAGUUCUGUGAUGAAGGAAUCAAGGGUCAAGUCUUUAAAAUGGUUUGUGUGUUUAUUCCAGAAAAUUCAGCAGCUGCUUUUUCUGAAAAGCAGAACUUUGCUAUAGCAAUGCAGAAUACUUUAGAGCACUUUUUCCCCCUGGGAUUUCAAAACAGAUGUCCAGUCAUCAAAUCCUGCAAAAAUAUGAAGCUGGCAAGGAUGUUACAGAUAUUAUAACUUUUUACAAAGUUACAGAUUUGACUUGUUGUCAAAUCUAGUCACUUUCCGACUGGUCUUUGUCACUACAGGUCUUUGCUGCCACAGAUACUCACCCUCUUUUAGUCAAAUAAUUCGGUUUGGUACUGGCCCCUCUAACAUAAGCUUCAUUUUUCUGUGUAUCUGAGGCUUUGCAUUUGGGAUUAUAUGGAUCCCAGGUAAUGGUAACCACAGGACAUUUUAGUUCAAAAUAAGUAAAUUUGCCUUUUUUUUUUUUAACUGGAAGUAAAAAUGCCGCAUGAAAUCUUGGUUUUAACAUGCUAUUUUGUUUAUGUAAAAAUAGAGACGUUUAGUUUAUAAGAUUGAAGAAAAAUUGCUUUUUAAUUCCCACUGAAUGUUCUCCAGUAAAUUUUAGUGUGGCAUUGUCUGCACUGGAUAGGUCACUGAAUGGUGCUUUUAUAAAAGUGUUUGAAAAGAAGAACUUGGUCCAUGGAAAUUGUUCAAAUAAUCUUGUUAGAAUGAAGCCUUGACUGAAGGCAGUAAUUUCAUGGAUUAAACCCAGAAGGGCUGGCUGGGCUGAUCUCCUUCCUAUCACAGGCCACAGAGCUUUGUGCAGAGACUGUCUAAGCAAAUGCUGGUUAGCUGCAAGACAUGGGGGAUUUUGCAUGGACAAUACAUUGAACAACACCAUGAAACUGCAAACUGGAACUUUGUGAGGACAGGAUAAAUAGGAGCUGGAAGAAAGAGUAUUUUUACAGGCCGUUUAGUAAACACAGUGAGGUAGAGUUGUUGCAUCUAACUAUGUUCAGAUUUCCCUUAAAAAGUUCCAAUUAAAAUUAAGAGAGACUGUUUCCCUUCCCCCCCCCCAGUCAAUCCUUUUCUCUCACAUGCCACAUGUGGUCCAGAACUGAGCAACAUGAUGGCACAACCAAGGAAUUGCCUGGUUUGUACUUCUGCAAGUCCGAAAAGCACAAAUUAUGAGCAAAAAUCCAGUGCUGUGAAAGCUGAAGAGAAAUAGAGAUAGAAGAAUACAGUGUGCAUCUGUCUUACAGUCCAAUAUUUUUCCAUUUAUAAAAAUAAAUAAAUAAAUGGCAUUCAUACAUCUUCUGAGUCAGCCUGUACUUUAUUGUGAUUCAUGAGAACUUUUUGUAGGCAAGAACAAUGUUCUGCUUGCAUUUCUUCAGGCAUGUCAGAUCUGAUUGGGGAUGGGCACAGUACCAUGGUGGUGCUGCUGUUGUUCAGUGAGAUACAAGAGAGACUUCAGGAAACCAGAAAAUUGGCUGACUACAAUGUGCUGCCACAGCUACUCCUGGAGUGCAGUGAGCAGGUGACAGAGGAGGAAGAGGAGAAACUUCUGGAAGAGUACUUUGUUAUUGCUUUGUCAUAAAGGAUGAUCACAAAGGGUUUGAUCACUGCUGUGGUCUGAGUAUUGCUCUGACACUGAAGCUGCGAGUUGUGGCCCUGAAUGUGGCUGGAGGAUUUUCUGCUGACCAUGUUUAAAUUUCUUCCUGAGGCUGCUUUGAGUGCAUGGGCUGCACUAGAGAAGGAGUAUGAGCUGCAGAAUGAGUGUAAGGACUUUGGGAACAGUUUAGCAUGAGGGCAGUAUAAGAUGAGCUCCUAUUGAAGGGCUUUAGCCCUGCUCUCCCACACUGUGCAGUUGGUGAUUGGGCUGCAAAGUAUUGGCACUCUCAGUGUAAUUGUAUAUUGCUUCCAUUCUCAUUAGUGAAACAAUGCAGGAGGAAGGAAUACAAAAAAAUACAGAUUAUAAAGAUUGUGAAGGAAAAUCAGUGUUCUUGAGGUUUUUUUCUAAAAUGCUGUAUUUUUCUUUUCCCACCACUAGUUAGCAAGCUGCAUUUAUAAUCCACCUGUGCUGCCGAUUGUAAUACCUCAUGGUGUGGUGUUUCACACAUGAUAAAUCACAGGACUUGUGAAGACAAAUUGCACUGAAUUAAACAGUCUGUUGAUCCACUGUCACUGGAUGUCAGCUGUCUGUUGCUCCAUUGUCAUUGUCUCUAUUUGGAGAACAACACAAACUCCAUACAGUUGAAUUGCUGACCAUAAUGUAUGUGAGGUUGUAAGGACAGAGUGAGUAGUGCUGUCUUCCUCUGAUCACCCAGGUAACCAUGAAUUUACUCUUGGGCUACUGCUAGAACAUUAGUAUGUAAAUGCACUCCUGAAUCUCAGGAUGGUUAUGUGCAUUCAGGUUGGUAAGGUAUUAACCACCAGUCUGGUUUCUGGGGGUUAAUAUGAGAGUAUAAACUUGCCCCACUCUGAGAAUAAACAUGCGCCAUUCUCUUCUCAAAGUGGAAGCAUGUCCAGGCCUCUGGCACACCAGUGACUCCUGCAGUUAUGUUUGUGGUUCUGUGUCCAUGCUCCACCAAAAUGUAAUUAGUGCUCAUACAUGCUGGAAUGGCACAUUCACCAUCACUACUCCCAGCAUGGGCUGGGAAGUCCAUUUGGUCUUCAGUUUUGGAGACCUCACUUUUAAUGACUUGUGUACAAACCCCUGCAAAUCUUCUGGUAAAUACCCACUGCUGUUCCAUUGCCCCCUGCCUUGCCUGUCUGGGAUGUGGCCCUCUGGGAUGGGCAGCUUCCAAAUUCCAACUCCCACCUGGCCUUAAGAUGGCAUGACCCGCAGGUACCUGGACUUUGAUGUCACAGCUUUGGGGGAAUUAAGGGACUCCAUCAUUAACUUGACCUCCUUGACUUUGUUGCUCAGUCCAUGCUUGGGUGGUAGGAGAUGAGUGAAUAGCACAUUUAACUCUGAGUGUUGGUUCUGACAGGGUGAAAGGAAGGGCCCCAGCAGAGGGGAUGGGGAGUGCAGGGUGUCUCUCAUGAGGGGUUAGUCACGUUUGGGGUGGCUCAGCUGCCACACUCACACAGCUGUGGGGGCACUCCUGGCAGGAAACCCUGCCCAGCCUGUGUGCAGCUCUGUGCCAGCUCACCCAGCCUGGUGGGAGAAGGUUGGUGCAGGGACAAGAUCAAGCAGUGUAGUCCUCCUUGAGCCAAGAACUUCUGCAUAAACUGCACGGAGACAUUAGCUUGCACAUAUACCUCUCACAUGCUGUGUGUAAAUUACAUGAGAAACUAAAGAGGUGGUGUGCUUAUGAGUAAGAAGUGAACUGAUGGAAAAAUGAUGCUUUGUUUUGAAAGGCAUGCAAAAGAAUAAAAACCAGAUAUAAGAAAGCAAAACUUUGUAUGAUUGAUUUGAAGAGAAACAUGUCAUUAAAUCCUUGAACAAUGUGAAGUUGGUCAUCAAUUCUGAUACUAUAUUUUGCACCUUGGAGGUCAGUGAAACUGUAAGUUAAGGGAAUAAUGUUUUGCAUAUGUUUGAAGUAGACAUUUUUUUAAGUUUCACUGUUUCCAAUCCCAAUUUUUGAUGGAUGCCCAGUAGUAAUUUUUAAAAUACUGAAUGACAAAAUCACAUUUUAUCCAGGAGAUAAAAUUGAAAUAACAGACGUAUCUUUCAUCACUACUUUUGAAUAUUUAUUCUUUGCAUUUCAUUUAUCCUAAACAUUUUUUUUAUUUCUAUAGUUAGACCCUGACUAAUUUUUCACUGUAUUGGUUUUGCUGGGACAACAGUGGCUGGUUAUUCCAAAUAUGAGUAAGGACAGCAAGCUUGGGCUUGUACUAAUUUUGAUUAAUAAAUUUGCCUUGAGAAUGACAAAUUGUGUUAGUACUUUUCACUUUAUAACAUUAGACAGUCAGAGAUGUUAACACUUUGUAGGGAAUGAGCAUUAGGCAGUGUUUGGAACUGCUUAUAGGGAGCUUUCAGGUGCCUGGUCUCAGGAGAAACUGCUAAAAACCUUUCUCUAUUUUUAUUUUAGUGAAAGAACGGUGUGAUUGAAAAGCAAGGUGUUGAAAGGAAUUUCACUGUAAUAGCAAAAUGUCCUUCCUUUCAUUUUACUCCCUGAGUUCUAAAAUAAGGAUAUUUCUUUGCCAGUUCCUUUGAAUUUUCUUGAUUCUGAGUUGGCAUAAUGAUGGCAGGAAUAGUCCAUAGAGGAAUAAUCCUCUCUGUGUAUGGUGAGGGGAAAGAAAGAAGUACCCCACUGGCAUGAGAUUUUCUGCAGUUGUCUUUUGUAGGUUCACAACAGUGUUACAGAAAGUGCAGUCUUGAUUGAUUUCUUGUUUUUUAUUUAUUUUCUUUAUACAUUUAUUUUGCAGUUGGGGUGAGGGGAUGCAAUUGUAUGUCAGGAAGCAGCCACAAGGGGAGAGAAAUACUAGAAAUUUAGUUGUAACAUUUUUCCUGGUAGUAUUAGUUGGGUGUUUCUCUGUCUUGGUCUGGUCAGGGCUUGGUUUUGGAUGAAAGGCUUUCAGUUCUUCCAGGGGAUUGUGGGGUUCCAAGAAAAGGGAUGAUAAUAGCCGUGUAGGGAUAGCUGAUGCUUUUUAUUGUAUUAGUCUUAUUGGAUUUAUUCCUUCUGGUUUACUUUACUGAAAAGAGAACCCUGGAAGGGAAUAAUAACUGGAGUGUCUUAUUUUCUUGCCACUUUGUUAAUUUUGCUAUACAUAUUUUUGUAUUAUAGAUUUCUUACUCAGUAAGUGUAGCCAUUGUAUGAAUCUUAUCUUCAUCCUUUGCUUUUGUAAGGUAGGCUGGUUGGUCUUUUAUACGUUAGGGCUCAUACAUGAAGUUAUCACACCAUUCAGCUCUGUUUUUGUUUGGGUUUAGCUCCUUGGCUUUUGAACAGUCCUGCUCACAGAACUGUGAUGGAAAACUAGAACCAUUUUACUGCUGUUUAAUUUGUUUCUGAUUUGUGGGUGGGUGGGUCCAGGUGAUAUCUUUGAAUCUGCAGGUUAGUGAGAAAGAAAGACCUUUCUUGACCCAUGAAAUUUCCUGCAUGAAUUUUUGAUAAAAAAAUAAAAAUCUUUUUCUGUUUCUUUUUUGUCUUAAUUUUCCAGGAAACACAACAUGCUUUGACAGAACUCAGAGGACUUUGGAAGACUUUGUCUGGAAACAAAAACUUGUGCAUUUGAAAUGUGUUACUGUAGUCCUCCUGUGACAUUACAGCCUGGAUGCCUGCUGGCCCUGCUCUGCAAGGCUGAGGCUGCCUUCCACCUUUGACAUUGUGCCAUGAUCUUCCUCCCUGAAGGGAUGGGGAAUCCCUCAAAAUGAUCUGUCCUCAGAAUUCUCAUUUAAAUGCAUUUUACUGUGUUCAGAAUGCUAAUUCCCACUGGACUCCACUCACUCGAGUAUGUGCAAACUCAGUUUCUUUCAAGGGGAUACUGACCUAAGUGGACCUUUGAUCUGAAUUGUCAUAGCUAUCCUUGGAUGAGGAGAAGUACACUGACAAAUGAAAUAAAAUUACUCCUGCACUUCCUCAUAUCCGAAUGCAGCAUUUUGCAAAAAAACCCCUAAGUGAUGUUGCAACACGUGGAUCUCACAAGAGGAUGCUCUGGAAGGUGCCGCACUGUUUCACAGAGCCUCGGUGAGACCCUGUGCUGAUGUGAAGCUGUUUAUAGCCACAGGCUGGGUGCUAGAGGUGCUUGGGGUGCACUUCUCCCCCAGCUCGGCUCGUUGGUUAGGAAAGAAAAGCCUUGUGGCUGUACUCGAAGGAAGAACUCAGGAGAGGAUUCAGGGAUCUCCUGCCAGGCCUGCAGUGUGUGCUAGAAGUGCUCUGAGAGGACUGAUCCAUAGCCUGGACUUACAGGUUCUACAGUGACACAAAUGGCACAUGAUAAUUGUGUGUGGAGAAGGGCUGGCAGCUUUACAGAGGAAAUUUCUGGACCUGUGCAUAAGUUCAGAAUAAGCAACUGCCUGUAGCUUCCCUUCCCCCAGACAACUGAAUCUUUUUACUGAGUGUCAUUAAAUGGUCCUACGUGUGGGACAUGAAAUGUAUUUAUGGUAGAGUGAGAGUUUUGUUCUGAGUCACUGGUGCAUCAAGAGUUUCUUCACAAUGUUCUUGUGGCUGCCUGACCAGUGAGACAGAACCAUGAGAGACACAGACCCCGUGGGAACGGUCCCUGAACCCCACCUGGCUGAGAUGUGGAGGUGCCUAGUUCCUGUAGAAGUGAGUGGGACUUUAUGUUCUUAAAUAGAAUUCAGCAACCUAAAUACCUUGUAAUUCUCCAUGUAUAAAUCUUAGUUGUAAUAUAGCCUCCUAACUCCCCACACAUCCCUGCAUUCUUUCAUACAUGUUUCUCUCUUUGGCAGUUUGGAUGCUUAAUUAUGUUUCUGUUUUGGGAGCUGUUUCUUGCUAAUCUUAUCCUGUAUUUCUCUGGGAUCUCUGUUCCUCUUCAGCUCUUUCCAAUCUUACAAUUUCUCUACAUAAUAAACACACUUAAUUUCCAGUGACUGGCUUCCCUCUUACCAUGGCAGGUGUGAGCCAUAGGACUGCUGGUAUUUUUAGAGCACCUUGUAAAGAUGCUAUAAAAGGAAUCAUUAGGGCUCAAAAUUGACAGGGAUUUGAUGAUUUUGUCCAAUCUACUUUUUGACCAACUGUAGGAGGAUAGAAUAUAAGUAAAUAAAGGUAGUAUAAAAAGUAAUCUUACUCCCUAAAGAGUUGCAGCUGAGCCAAUUAUUAAAGAUUAGGAGCAGGCCUGAUUUUUACAGGCCACAGCUGUAGCCAAUAAGAAGAGUGUUAUGAAAGAGUGGAUUGGUAGGGACUGGUGUCAGUUGGCUGCUGUGAGGACACGGAAGAGUCAGUGCCUGGAGGAGAUGCCUACAAGAAGCAUCAAGGAGGUAUGGAACUCUUGCAAUAUAGAACUCUUGCAAUGUAAUGAUAACAACCAACCCAUAUUCAAGUUGCAUGUUAGCCAAAUUCUACUUCAUUUGAGUGCCAAAAAGGGCAUGGUGGGGGUGUGUGUUACAGGUAGUUCAAGGAUGCAGAACCUUGUACCAGCCUAAUGUUUUUGUCAUAGGAACUACUCUCUGCUCUGCUGUUUGCUCUUCUGAAACCAGCAAUAGUAAACCAGGGCAUAAAUCAACAUAACACUUUCUUCCCAUGCUAAGCUUUAUCUUAGUUUUAGGAGUAGGAUGUAGUUUGGGUAGGGAUUUAAGUGCUUAGAUAUUGCAGAUUCCUUUGCAUUCCUGAAAUGUUUUCCUUCUUUCUGGCCAAUAAAGUAACAUGAAUUAAUUAAUUAAAGAAAUUAAUGUGAUUGACUGUUUCUUGUGGCUCAGGGAUUCAUGCUGUUUGGCUAAUUGAUGGCUAUGAGUGUUGCAUGUGUAAGUAGUUAUAAACACUUUGUUUUAUUCAUGCUGACUUUAUCACAGAGCAUCUUAGUUUGUACUGAGGAGCACUCCAGGUAGACCAUGGCCUGUGCAUUCCACCCCAGUGAGGGGUGCUCUCAAAGGGCUUUUUGUUGCUCUGUCAGCUCUAUCAGCCAAAACAUAUUCCAUAAACCAUCUCAUAGGAUCGGAGAGUGACUGAACUGGAGAUGGACAGAAUAUGGUAAAUUAUGUUAGGAACAGGCUGGUGAUCCUUGAGGGACCCUCUGCAAUAUGGCCUGUGGCAACAUAUCUUCUUCCAAUCAUCUCUUCAGCUCUGGAGUUCUUGCCAUGUAAUAGAUUUAUAUGUUUAAUUGUCUUUUCUUUAAAGCUAUCCAAAUGCUUUCAAACCAAUAUUGUUAACUUUCUACCUAACGAGGCUGAUAAAAAUGAAAGAUGUUUGUACUUGGUUGGCUUCUUCCAUGAUCUGGGAUUCAUCUGGGAAUUCGAUCUAUAGAAUCUCUUAGAAUUAUCCAAGUAUUUCUGAGUGCCAAAUAUAACCAACUGAAAUAUCCAGAGAUUAGUAGUUUUCAAACAAUUUUUAGACUAAAUCUCAAAGUCACAGCAAUUUUUUAAAAUAGAACUGUUGGUGCUUCCUAUUCACAGGAUUUUUUGUGACAUUAAUGUAGUGUAAAUAGAUAAUUUUUACAUGGACAUGCAGAAUAUAAAUGGUUGGCUACUGAUACAUUUUCUUCUACUCUAUAUGUGUUAAUACAGUACCAUACCAGUGCUAUGGUCAUGAGAGAUUCUGCUGGUGGAAAACAUGAUCAUGGGAUUUGACCUCCUUGGAAGCAAGGACUUCUCCAGGUCAUGAA